UUUUGAGUGGGGGGGAUUCUGAAGCAGUUGGAGAAUCCAUUAGAAGGGACUGCAGUGGACAUCUGGCCUUUACUGCUCUUUUAUGUCUACUGUUUCUUCCAAGCGUUUUUCUCUGACCUUUAACCACCAGAAUUCUGUUGGGGGAGAAUUUGGAAGAUGGAAGGGGUCACAAAGGCGCCGGACAUCUGUAUUACCACUCAGUCACAGGCUGUUGCACCAAGCUCGCAAUCUAAGCCGGGAACUCUGUCUGCUGCUGAGCUUGGCUGGUCUAUCCGUCGUUGCUCUGCUCUCUCUGCACGAUUCAUGGAUUCGUUUCCACGUGCCAUUGGGUAAGCCCGGCAACUUCACCUUCAUUGACAUCUACACAUCAAUCUUUGUUCCCUGCCCAGAGACUGAAUGCACACUGGAGCCUGAUGAGCCACCCUAUUACCUGAAUUUCUCCGUCACCUUCAUCCUCAUUGCCACCCUCAUCAGUUUCCUUCUGUGCCUGGCCUUGGCCUACACCAUUCUCUUCUUCAGAGGCUCGGUGCCCAUCAUUGACCUCACCAUCUCCAUUAUGAGCUUCAGUACAGGCCUCUUGCUGUUCCUGUGUGCCCUGUUCUACCUGCUUCAGGCCCGGAAUUUCCUGCAGAAUGGAAUGAGCUACACCCUGGAGACAAACUACUACCUGGCAUGGCUAGGCAUUUUCCUCUAUAUGCUGACAGGCUUCUUUUGCUUCCUCAACUAUGCGAAUUUCUGGUCUAUGAUGACACCUGGAGGGGCCUGGCUUUAGGCUUUGAGAUGGAUUCCUACCCUGGACCCUGCCCUCCCUGCUUCUUACCCUCACCCCAAGCCUUCCCAGCUGGGACUGUCGCUCUCCCUGGCUGAUCCCUUCUGUUCCCUCUUGACUCCUCAGCUUAAUAAACUGGCGUGUCCUCACUCUCCCCA
RNAcentral lists this long non-coding RNA (927 nucleotides) under Monodelphis domestica (gray short-tailed opossum). RNAcentral describes it as "lncRNA (ENSMODG00000035471.2)". Lineage: Eukaryota; Metazoa; Chordata; Mammalia; Didelphimorphia; Didelphidae. The record is from RNAcentral.